UACGAAGGGAGCGAGCGUUGUUCGGAAUCACUGGGCUUAAAGCGUGCGUAGGCGGGCAGGAAAGUCAGAAGUGAAAGCCCCGGGCUUAACCCGGGAACUGCUUUUGAAACUUCCUGUCUAGAAACCGGAAGAGGUUAGCGGAAUACCCAGUGUAGAGGUGAAAUUCGCAGAUAUUCGGAAGAACACCAGUGGCGAAGGCGUCUCACUGGACACAUAUUGACGCUGAGGUGCGAAAGCGUGGGGAGCAAACAGG
This 253-nucleotide ribosomal RNA is filed under the name uncultured bacterium. Its description in RNAcentral is "partial 16S ribosomal RNA". It matches the Rfam family "Bacterial small subunit ribosomal RNA", at positions 524 to 776 of the family's 1533-position model. The record is from RNAcentral.